UUUGAAAAAAAUGCUGCCCCGAUUUUACAUUUAUGCGGCAUGGAUGUGACUAUUGUUAAGACAGAUUAUGAGGGACAAGCCAAGAAACUCCUGGAACUGAUGGAAAACACAGAUGUAAUCAUUGUUGCAGGAGGAGAUGGGACACUGCAGGAGGUUGUUACUGGUGUUCUUCGACGAACAGAUGAGGCUACCUUCAGUAAGAUUCCCAUUGGAUUUAUCCCACUGGGAGAGACCAGUAGUUUGAGUCAUACCCUCUUUGCCGAAAGUGGAAACAAAGUCCAGUAGGCAUUAUGUAAACAAAGCUCUGCUCUUUCAAGAAGAUAGGAAUCUUGAAUCUGAGCUUUGACAGUGAUUAAUAACAUCAUUUUGAGCAAAUAGUUGUCAAGAAGACCCAAAUAAAUGGAGAGAUAGCUGAGAGAUCAGUUGCCUGAUGGUUAACGUAAGCUUUGUGACACAUUGGAGGAAGUCAAUAAAUAAAUAUUUGUUGCAUG
RNAcentral lists this small RNA (491 nucleotides) under Pongo abelii (Sumatran orangutan). Its description in RNAcentral is "processed transcript". Lineage: Eukaryota; Metazoa; Chordata; Mammalia; Primates; Hominidae. The record is from RNAcentral.